This 548-nucleotide ribosomal RNA is filed under the name Vermamoeba sp. RNAcentral describes it as "SSU rRNA". It matches the Rfam family "Eukaryotic small subunit ribosomal RNA", at positions 612 to 1161 of the family's 1831-position model. Lineage: Eukaryota; Tubulinea; Echinamoebida; Vermamoebidae. The record is from RNAcentral.
GUUGCAGUUACGAAGCUCGUAGUCGGAUUUCGGAAGGUCCUUAGCAGUCCGCCCCUUCGGGGAGCGGGCUGCUGGCCUCCUAUGUUCCUAACGGUCCUCAUCCGCGAGGGUGGGGAAUCAACCGCUAGGAUCGUUUACUUUGAGGCAAUUAGAGUGUUCUAAGCAGGCGUAACUCGCCUCCGAAUACGUUAGCAUGGGAUAAUGGAAUACGACUUCGGUCUUGUUUCGCUAAUUUCGCUUGGCUGAAGUAAUGAUUGAUAGGGACAGUUGGAUGCAUUAGUAUUUAGUUGUCAGAGGUGAAAUUCUAGGAGUUACUAAAGACUGACCAAUGCGAAAGCAUUUGUCAAGGAUGAUUUCAUUAAUCAAGAACGUCAGUAGGGGGAUCGAAGACGAUGAGAUACCGUCGUAGUCUCUACCGUAAACUAUGCCGACCAGGGAUCCGGAGAGUUUGCAUGGAUGACUCCCCGGGCACCUUGUGAGAAAUCAUAAGUGUUUGGGACUUGUUAGGAGUAUCGUAGCAAGGCUGAAACUUCAAGGAAUUGACGGAA